RNAcentral lists this microRNA precursor (73 nucleotides) under Mustela putorius furo (domestic ferret). RNAcentral describes it as "miRNA (ENSMPUG00000023247.1)". Lineage: Eukaryota; Metazoa; Chordata; Mammalia; Carnivora; Mustelidae. The record is from RNAcentral.
CGCCAAGCUAUCUUGUUAAAAUGCAGAUUCUAAUUGAGUAGAACUCAAGGUUCUCUGUAUUUUGAACAGAGCU